Long non-coding RNA from Lutra lutra (Eurasian river otter), 338 nucleotides. RefSeq lists it as uncharacterized. The transcript has 3 exons. NCBI's taxonomy places the organism in Eukaryota, Metazoa, Chordata, Mammalia, Carnivora, Mustelidae. The record is from RefSeq and is a predicted model, not a curated record.
AUCACUUGGGGUUUCUGUGGCCUCCAAACCCUGCAUUCAACUUCACCACCUUCCUCUCUCUGCUGACCCCAGAAGCACUGUCCCCAGGGGACAGGGGACCCCACUCUGCCCCCCAUGGGGUUGACAGCACCCAGGUGUGUGCCGCGUGCAAUGUCUCCCCAGCUUGCCCUCUUGCCGAACUCCUGCUCCUCCUCGAGUACACACCUCAGAUGUCCCUCUUUUAGAGCAGGGAAGGGUCUGGACAAGCUGAUAAUGGCGUGGCACAUGGGGUGAGCUCUGGCUUCCGAUAUAAGCAAGGGAGGAGACCACGGACCUCCCAGGGUGAGCACCAGCUCUCA